RNAcentral lists this ribosomal RNA (460 nucleotides) under uncultured bacterium. RNAcentral describes it as "partial 16S ribosomal RNA". It matches the Rfam family "Bacterial small subunit ribosomal RNA", at positions 338 to 795 of the family's 1533-position model. The record is from RNAcentral.
CCUACGGGAGGCAGCAGUGAGGAAUAUUGGUCAAUGGACGAGAGUCUGAACCAGCCAAGUAGCGUGAAGGAUGACGGCCCUAUGGGUGGUAAACUUCUUUUAUAUGGGAAUAAAAUGUUCCACGUGUGGGAUUUUGUAUGUACCAUAUGAAUAAGGAUCGGCUAACUCCGUGCCAGCAGCCGCGGUAAUACGGAGGAUCCGAGCGUUAUCCGGAUUUAUUGGGGUUAAAGGGAGCGUAGGUGGAUUGUUAAGUCAGUUGUGAAAGUUUGCGGCUCAACCGUAGAAUUGCAGUUGAAACUGGCAGUCUCGAGUACAGUAGAGGUAGGCGGAAUUCGUGGUGUAGCGGUGAAAUGCAUAGAUAUCACGAAGAACUCCGAUUGCGAAGGCAGCUCACUGGACUGCAACUGACGCUGAGGCUCGAAAGUGUGGGUAUCAAACAGGAUUAGAUACCCGAGUAGUC